CCGGUUGCGGCGGUUUAUGGCAGGGAGAUGCGCAGCACGAGAGCAAAGGGCGGUUACCCAACGGCCUUCGCUCUCAUGGCGUCCUCCUUGAUGUUACCUAAAAAUAAAACCAAGGGUGAUUAGAAGCUUGAAGAAAACCUCAGCAGUUGAAACCGUGAUGCAGUUCAGCAAAGAAGUAGCUCCUGUCCUGGUAAAACAGUGAAGUUCUCAUGGACGACCUCAUUGAGAUUUAAACCUCAGACACAGGGAGCUGACCUAUUCACCUUAGAAUCCUCUGGGGCACCCAUUACAGUGUCUGUACCAAGGAGGCAACAAAGAACGGCAGAACAGACUGGAGCAGAAGG
This is a long non-coding RNA of Homo sapiens (human), 344 nucleotides long. RefSeq lists it as uncharacterized. The record is from RefSeq and is a predicted model, not a curated record. The transcript has 3 exons. NCBI's taxonomy places the organism in Eukaryota, Metazoa, Chordata, Mammalia, Primates, Hominidae.